AGCCGAUCACUGCGUCCAAACCCGCCUGAGGAGGAACGAGUCACCUCUGCCUGACUAUCUUCUGUCCCGGAGCGAGGCCGGUGCAACUCACGCUCAGCUCGUCGCAGGAGCAGAGAAGGCAAAGGGUGCUGCUGAGUUCGGCUGAGUCGAGGGCAGCUUCCGACGGCGAGGCUAUGGUGGAACUCAGGAUGGAGGAGGGCGAUCAGCAGAGAAGACCAAGAGGGGCAAGUGCUGCUGAGUUCGGCUGAGUCGAGGGGAGGUUUGGACGGCGAGGCCAGGGUGGAGC
Long non-coding RNA from Toxotes jaculatrix (banded archerfish), 286 nucleotides. RefSeq lists it as uncharacterized. The transcript has 5 exons. NCBI's taxonomy places the organism in Eukaryota, Metazoa, Chordata, Actinopteri, Toxotidae. The record is from RefSeq and is a predicted model, not a curated record.